UUUACGGUGCACUGGAGUGCACAGCGGCCCCCCGCCCUGAAGCCACUGCCCGUCCGGCAGUGUCAGAAGCUGGCCCACAGACCUUCCACUCGCAUGAUGGAUUGCCUGAUACAGUUUGUUCCACUGAGGUGAAUUCCCACAAUGCCUCUGGGCUUAAAACUCGUAUUUUUUCAUCUUUCAUUUUUUUUUUGUUCAUACCAGAGCGUGCUGCAGCAGUUGGAGGAAAAAGAUGGACACUUGGGCAAAAACAGGUAAAGGAGCAAAUAAAACAAUCUAUGUGUUAAAGGAAGUGAAAGUAACAUGCAUGUGUGGAAUAUCAGGAGAAAAUUUUAAAAUUGCAUGUGCAGUGUUAAAAAACAAAAAAAUGUUUGAUAAUGAAAAAAUUUCCUUUUUGUUUUACUCAAGAUGAAGACCUGUAUACCUAGAAUUCAAGACACAACAGACUGCAGCACUGAAACACUGUACAAAUAUGUGGUUUUAUACCAUGACAACUUUUAAUUAGAUUUUGAGAGAGCAAAAAUUUAUGGAGAAUUUUAUUCAUUGCCUCAAAGUUAUAAUGGAUUAUAAUGUAUGACUUUCACACAAACGUUAUUUUAAUAUCUCACCACUGUAACAACAUCGAACAUCUAAAUUAUAAUGAGGUUUCCACAUAAUAUGGAAAAAUGACAUUUGUUUUUACACAAUUGUUGUUGGAACAGGAAUUUGCAAUAACAUCUUAUAAUAACUUGUAAUAAUGUAGGAAUGCAGUCCAGGAACGAGUAAAUGGAGAAGCCUGUUAGCUAUAGCAGUGUAGCAAGCUACACUCAACUCAUGUUUUGUCAAUCUAAAUUUAUAAUGUUUUCCAUCUACCUUGAAACACAAAAUAGUACAUAAAAAUUUUCAUUACAAGCAACUUAAUAAUAGCAUUAUUAAAAUAUACCGCUGAACGAGACACAUGACAAAUGAUUGAAUGAAUAAUUAAAAUUAAAUUAAAUGCUGUUUAUUAUAAUGGGGCCAUCGGCCUUGAGCAGUUCUGACACGAAUGUGAUCCAUUUACAGUGUCUGUCAGGUAGCUGGCAUCUUCCAAGACCCCUAUGCAUCUUGAGUGUGUGCAUUUUUUGUAAUUAUUACAUUGUGGGAUACAGAUUUCCUCACAGUUUUCAAAAUUAAAAACCUGAAACUUUUAACCUUGUGGGGACAUCUUUGUAGUCCCCACAAGGACAACUUCAAAUUUGAAAAAUGAAUGGAGAGUCAUGCAAAGUGCAUGUGUGCAUGUUUGCGUGUGUAUGAAUGUGACUGCUUCUAGAAUUCCAUGAUUAUCCCGCUGAAGGGGAAAAUCCAAAUGCUACUGGCAGAAAGUGAGAAUGCUGUUGGUAUGAGAGCCCGUGUGACUUGGGGUGAUGCACAUACCCACAGCAAAAAGAAAGCAAGUGGAGGUGUCCAGGAUUCUAGGUUAGUCUAGAUGGCGUGAUGUGCAGGACGGAAGCACUAUUGCUAAAUGAAAGUCCUCUGGGGCUCGACUAAGGACUGUGAACAAAUGAAACGUUCAGAGAAGCAGUGAAGAAAUAGAUCUCGGAAACAUCCUAAGCAGAGGGCGGGUGGGUCUUUGCCGCAUCGAGUGCCGUACAGACACGGUCCACCUUAACAUCAUCAUCUUCUUCUUCUUCAUUAUCAUCUUCGUCACCGUCUUCAUCAUCAUCAUAAUUUUUUAUUUCUUGUUUUGACAGAUCUGUCCUCAGAACACAGUAACUACGCUGACAUUGAAACUGAGAAAAGAUGGUGAAAAAAGAAAAAGAGUUUUGUCGUUACUGUAAUUUCCACGAAUAUUCCACUGUAAUUCCCUUAGGCGAACUAAGAAAUUUUGAUGCGAAAUUAAACAGACCCAGUUUUGGUCAUAACUCGAUUUUGAUAAACUAAGCAGUUUUGCUUUUGUGCCCCCCAGCCCAAAAGGUGUGAGUUGUCAGCUAUAACCUAUAUACUGUAUAUAAUUAUUUACAUACUCCACCUGUGAUUGAGAUGCAUACAUUCUCUGAUGCUGAAACAAAGGCACUUCUGAGUCAAUGCUGAGUAACAAUAACUGUCAACUGCCUUUAUCAUAUAAACCAAAAUUAAAGCAUCAUAUAUGAUAUUCAACUGACUCCCUUUUCUGAAUUAGGACUAUUUUGCAAUAGAAAACAUUUGGCACACCUGCAAACAUCUGACUUCAAUGUCUUGAGGUAUGUCCAUCAGUGUGGGUUAUUUCGGAGACCUGCACUGUAACACAAGUCUGUGCAACUCGACGGCAGAGUGGGUUGAUUGCUAUGUAAACGUCAGCGUUGGACCACAGGAAGUGCGGCCAGACAGCCGAUGCUGAGGGAAGCACUUUUCUUGUGUAGACGACAAAAAAACAGGGAAAAAAAACUGACGGGACAAAUGAACGUAAUUGAAACAUGACUGUGCCUUACUGAUUCUUACAGGCAUUCCGGUGAAAUUAAGAAACUGCAAUGACUGGGUUCAGAAGUGUUCGAUUUUUAGGGCCAAAUGUUUCUGCUUUUGCACUGGGAAUAGUGAAAAAUGGAUACAAAGUAGGUACAUGGAGGAGAAGAUGGAGCAACAAGAAUGACAGCUUGAGGAAUAUGAAUAUAGAGAAAAUUACGAAGACGCUGAGGGAAACCAGACAGUCUGCAGGAGGCCGAAUGGCAUUAAUUUCGGGAGCAAGUGAAAUCUCCAGAGAAAGUAUGAGCUCCAGCGACAAGGAGUGAAAAAGAGGCAACGGGUCACUUAAACAGCCGUGUGUGUGCAGUGAUGGCUGUGGCCCCGCAGAGCCACCCAGAACCGGGGGGCCGUUUGGGGAGAGACUGCAGGAAUGUCCCAGCCUGUGGACCAUACCACCAACAUCAGAGGGAUUACGGCUCAUUUGCUUACCCUGCUCUGCCAAAAGCAAUACCAGUUAACUGCAGCUCACGGCAGAGACACCAAGCUCGCUGGGAGCAGCUCCUAAAGGGCCCAGACAAACACCAGCAGAGAUGUGAAAGUGACACCAUGCAUGUGCAAGACCAACCCCAC
Brienomyrus brachyistius is the source of this 3024-nucleotide long non-coding RNA. RefSeq lists it as uncharacterized. Lineage: Eukaryota; Metazoa; Chordata; Actinopteri; Osteoglossiformes; Mormyridae. The transcript has 5 exons. The record is from RefSeq and is a predicted model, not a curated record.